RNAcentral lists this long non-coding RNA (3386 nucleotides) under Homo sapiens (human). RNAcentral's name for it is "non-protein coding lnc-FAM217A-1:13". The record is from RNAcentral. Lineage: Eukaryota; Metazoa; Chordata; Mammalia; Primates; Hominidae.
UUGAUGUACACAUGUUCCUCUGCUAGGUGCUUUUCAUUUUUUUGAGGGCCUUCAGUCUUCUGUUCAAGUGUGCAUGGUGCUUCUAAGCCUUCUCACUUAGUUUUGAAAUUAGCAUUCUACUCAGAAUAGAUAAAUGCUGCCAACUUGCAGUUCUUUUGCUUGGCCCAGAUUCCCUUAUAGUUUGCAGGUAAUUUUCAGGGUCUUCAGUAUGAGAUUAUUUUCAUUUCCUAGUUUCAACACAGAUGGUUUUCUCUUUACUUUUGGUUCAUUUCCGUGCAUUUUGGGGAAAGGAGAUAGAUAAAUGUGCACUUUUCAGCUACCUUUCUGGACAAUAUUAGCAUUUCCCCUUUACUUCUGAAUAUCCUUUGGACUCUCCUAUAUUGGAAAAAGAGGGUGAUUUAUGACUAUUUUAAUGGAAAACAAAAAUAAAUCUAUAGACAAGUUGUUAGAUAUAUUAAGAGUUUAACAAGGUGAAUAUUAUAACAGCUAUACCUUCACCCAGCUACCCUUGCUGGGCUCUAACUCGCUGUCUCUUUCUCUUGUUAUUGUUGUUGUUUUCCCCCAUGGGUGAGUUCUUUAUGGCAGUCUCCACCAUUUCCUCAUAAUCAUUUUCCUUUUGAUUUCUAUAUUCUGACAUCCAGUUCCCAUCAUACUGCGGCAGCUGAUCUCUCAAAAUAAAUUCAUUGAUUUUUUUUUUUAUAAUUGCAGUUACAUUUUUUCUCCUUUACUUUCCUUGCACACAGGACUGUAUUUGAUGCUGUUAAUUAACCCUUCUUUAAAACUUUGUUUUUUGUUUACUUCUGUUUCUUUACUGACUGUGUACAGUAAUCAGAAAAAUCAGAAAAAGACCUGAUUUUCUCUAAAUCAGGCCUUUUUCCCUCAAGGAUCUUUGUGGCCAUUUCCCCUGGUUUUCCUUGAGGAGAAAACUAUCUCUCUACAUCUCCCUCUUAACCCAACUUCCACUCCGCUAUUUUAAUAGUCUACUGGAUGCUACGGUGAACAAUUUAAAAGACAGAAGGACUGGGUGACAAACGUGAGGGAAUUUGGACUGAUGUCUGCAUGUCUGGCUUGAGUAACAGUAGGGACAGCAGUGCUGUUUCACAUAUACAAGGAACAUGAGGGAGAAAAGGGCUCAAGAGGAUCAUUUUGAUUACAACAAACAGGAACAAUGGAAACCACCUGACACCAGUCCCAAACCACCAGUGACAUUAGUCCAACCACUUUAAGAGAGUCUGAACUAGGUAGAAAGGCAAACUGAUAGAGGCUCUCGGGAGGCCUUCUUGAGAGCACUCUCACUGCCUUGGUGAUAGGGGUCAUUUUGCAGCAUGUUGGCUGCAGAGAAGGCAACCUAAAGAAGGCAUUCAUGAAAUGCAGCCUGCUUCUUGAACGAAUCUGGAUGAAAGGCAGGAGAAUGCAUGGCAGCUGGAGGAAAGCCAGGAUGCAGGAGGGCAUUCCUUAGGGCAGUAAAGUGGACGUACAUGCGGGGUUAGAGAGCAACCCAGAAGCAGGAAGCAUGAGCCAGAGUCCAGGGUGCUUUGGAAAGAUUUAGAUAGGGGGUAGGGCCCAUCCUUCUCUGUCAUAGGAAGCAGGAUGUAAAUGGAGUUUCUCUGGUUGGCUGGAGGUUGAGGAAGUUUGCUUCCUAUGGCUUCUAUUCUCAUCUACUGAAAUGUGAGAAGAGGCAGUGGGAAUGGAAAAGCUACCAUGGGAGUGAGAGGAGAAACUCAAGAUAAAUGAAGGAAUUUCUGCAAGCAGUGUGGAAAGCUGAACUGAGGCUGGAGCCAUGCAUUUGGGAUUUUUUUAAGAAAAAGCAUCGGUGUUCUUUUGUUUUGUUUUGUUUUGUUUUUUUGAGAGAGAGAGGUCUCGCUGUGUUGCCCAGGUUGGUCUUGUACUCCUGGCUUCAAGUGGUUCUCCCACCUUGGUCUCCCAAAGUGUUGGAGUUACAGGUGUGAGCCACUGCACCCAGUCAAGUUUUCCUUCUUAAGUGAUAAGAGUGAUACUUAGAAAGAUACUCACUUGGAAGAAGAGAAAUUAAAAAUUUUAGCACUUUUUGGCCACCUAAAAUAAUUGCAUGGAAGAGUGACCAAGAAAAACGCUGAAAAAAACUUUUCUUUGGGAAAAUAUAUAUUCCUUAUAUUCCUUAAAGCAAAAAUGAAUAGAGAAAAAUUGGCACCCCUGUUGUGUUAGAAACUAUUUGAAAAAUGAUGAAUUGUAAAUAUUGUCAAUUUCAAUACUCUGGUUUUGAUUUAAAGUUUGAAAUCGAGAUUUUGUGAUGGAAUGAUUUCUUCUGUUUGUAUGGUAGUUAAAGCUUGCUUAUUACCACCAUACUAGAAACUUGGCCGUAAACAGGAAUCUAUGUGCCUGGGCAGAAACUACCCCAUAAACACGUUGUUAUUUUAAAAUCUUAAAGGAGAGAGGAUAUCAAAGUAUAUUCUUUAUCAUUUUCUCUUAGAAAAUCUGACAUUGUGUUUUUGGACUAGUAAGUAGAAUAGAUAUUUAGAUCUAUAUGCUGUGAUGUUAUCCAGUGAGUGAAACACAGGUCAACUCUACACGAAGCCUUUUUUUGUAUUCCUAUUUUGUCUUCUCCAUCUCUCCUUUCUUAUUAUAGCAUAUUUUUUUCACUCUAAGGAAAGAACAUUUAUGCAGGGCUUGCUUACCCCAACAAAGCAUAGCACAGGCAGGGCUGACACAAAAUCAACGGGAGAAGUUUGAAAAAAGAGAACUGCUGGGAUUAAAUGUUCAGUGAUUUACUUGUUGUAUUAGUCCAUUUUCAUGCUGCUGAUGAAGACAUACCCAAGACUGGGCAAUUUACAAAACAAAGAGGUUUAUUGAACUUACAAUUCCACAUGGCUGAGGAGGCCUCACAAUCAUAGUGGAAGACAAAGAGGAGCAAGUCACAUCGUAUGUGGAUGGCAGGAGGCAAAAAGAGAGCUUCUGCAGAGAAACCCCCAUUUUUAAAACCAUCAGAUCUCAUGAGACUCAUUCACUAUUAGGAGAACAGCACAGGAAAGACCCACCCCCAUAAUUAAAUCACCUCCCACCGGGUUCCUCCCACAGACAUGUGGGAAUCAUGGGAGUUACAAUUCAAGAUGAGAUUUGGGUGGGGACACAGCCAAACCAUAUCACUUGUUGAAUGCACUUGGAUUGUACGGAGUGGGGCUGAGCUGCUGAUGUGUGUGCUUCAUCCACUUUGGGGCAAUUUUCUUAUUGUAUAAACUGAAUCAUGCGCCUGUCCUCAUUUGGCUUCACGUUAGAACCAAAAGAUGAGAGAUAUGUGCCCUUUAAAUGGGCUUUUAGUCACAUUUUAUAACAUAAUAAAUCUAAUUUUCAAUGAAUAUACCAACGUAUAUAUCUAGAAUAAGCCAUUUGCUCAGGAAAACAUAUGUCAA